CUACCAUGGCGUUUACGGGUAACGGAGGAUUAGGGUUCGAUUCCGGAGAGGGAGCCUGAGAAACGGCUACCACAUCUAAGGAAGGCAGCAGGCGCGUAAAUUACCCAAUCCUGACUCAGGGAGGUAGUGACAAGAAAUAACGGACCGAGGUCUUUUGACUCCGGGAUUGCAAUGAGCCGAAUUUACACCCCUUAGCGAGUAUCAAUUGGAGGGCAAGUCUGGUGCCAGCAGCCGCGGUAAUUCCAGCUCCAAUAGCGUAUAUUAAAGUUGUUGCAGUUAAAAAGCUCGUAGUUGGAUUUCUGGGAGGGUGCCAAUGUCCGCCUUUGCGCGUGUGCAGCGGCGCCCUUCCAUCCUUCUGUUAACGUCUCUUGGCAUUCAUUUGCUGGUGGCGGGCUCAGAUAUUUUACCUUGAGAAGAUUAGAGUGUUUCAGGCAGGCUAGGCCGGAAUACAUUAGCAUGGAAUAAUGGAAUAGGACUAUAGUCUCUUUGUUGGUUUGAGGGACUGCAGUAAUGAUUAAUAGGGAUAGUUGGGGGCAUUAGUAUUUAAUUGUCAGAGGUGGAAUUCUCAGAUUUGUUAAAGACUAACUUAUGCGAAAGCAUUUGCCAAGGAUGUUUUCAUUAAUCAA
RNAcentral lists this ribosomal RNA (626 nucleotides) under Ciliophora sp. Its description in RNAcentral is "SSU rRNA". It matches the Rfam family "Eukaryotic small subunit ribosomal RNA", at positions 341 to 980 of the family's 1831-position model. The record is from RNAcentral. Lineage: Eukaryota; Ciliophora.